UACGGAGGGUGCAAGCGUUAUCCGGAUUUACUGGGCUUAAAGGGUGCGUAGGCGGGUCGGUAAGUCAGUGGUGAAAUCUUCGAGCUUAACUCGGAAACUGCCAUUGAUACUAUCGAUCUUGAAUUAUCUGGAGGUAAGCGGAAUAUGUCAUGUAGCGGUGAAAUGCUUAGAUAUGACAUAGAACACCCAUUGCGAAGGCAGCUUACUGCGGAUAUAUUGACACUGAGGCUCGAAAGCGUGGGGAUCAAACAGG
Molecule: ribosomal RNA, 253 nt
Filed under: uncultured bacterium
Lineage: Bacteria
Description: partial 16S ribosomal RNA
Rfam family: Bacterial small subunit ribosomal RNA
Source: RNAcentral